UUUAGUAAAUGUUUAUUAUGUUUUUUUAACUUCAGCCAUGCAUUUGGUAAAAAGCAAUUCAUUUUAUGAAAUUCUGUUCCCCAGGCAUAGAAUUAUUCCCUUUAUUGCUUAAUAUAAGUUCAGUUUCACGUCCAGUAAGAGCAUAAGGCCCAAUAAAGAAAAUUGGCAAAAAAAAGGCAUAGGUUUAUUUUAUGUAGCUGCCCAAGUUAUGCAUAAAGUUCAUAAACUCCAUAUUCUAUUGUUGGUCAUAAAUAUGAUGGACCCAGUGGACAUCUGGUUACCCAUACAACUGUAGGAAGCAUUCCAGUUCCAUUUGGAUUCAAGCAACUCAAAUAUCCUCCAACUGUUAAAUAAAUAAAUUUUGUUGCAUCCAUACAAUAGAAUACUUCACAAAAAUAACAAAUGAUGAACUACGUGACGUAACAACACAAAUGUAUCUUAGACACAUUAUUCUAAGUGAAAAAAGCUCAAUCUUAAAGACUGUAUAAUAUGAUCCCAUUUACAUUGAUAUGACAGGCUUGAAAUGACAAAACUGUAGAGACCAAAAACAGAUUAGUCAGUGAUUCCAAGAAGCCAAGGCUAUAGGAAGGGUUUGACUUUAAAGGAUUAUGAGGGAUUUUUUUUUUCAGCUGCUCUAUACCUUGAUUGUGGGAAGUGUGAACUUUAUAGUAAGUUAUACCUAUAAAUAAUUUAAAGCCCUGAGCAAGAAAACAAAACACAAUAACUUUGACAAUACAUUGUUAACUAUAAGUACAGGUUAGGUAAUUGCAAUGCAUAUGGCGUAAUAGUAUUUAGAAUAUAUAAAUAACUAUGAAUCAGUAAGGGUAAGUCAUCCAAAAAACCAUCCAAGUUAAAAACUGUAUCAGUGAUAUUGACAGAAAAUUCACAAAAACAAGUGUCUGAAUGGCCAAAAAACAAAUGAAAAUAUGCUCAACUUCACUUUUAAUUUUCUCAAGCUAGAACAACAGUCAGAUAAUAGGAGGUGUUAGGAGGUGGAGAAAGAAGUAUAAGAGGUAAAUGUAUUCUUACACAGCUGGGCAAGUUUCAAAAAUGAUAGAAUUAUUUUUGGAGAGUUAUUCUUCAGUUCCCAGGAACACUGAAAGUAAGAAUACCCAGUCACUCAGAAAUUCUGCUAAGUAUUUAUUCCAGAGAAAUUGUUCCAGUUGUCAAUAUUGUAUACAAAAUAUUCAUCAGAGCAUACUUAAGACAGGAAUAAUUGGAAUCGCCAAAUCUGCUAUUAAAAACCCAUCUGAUUCUAGUAACCUUAACACUGAUUGAAUUUCCUCAUCUAUAACAGAAGAAUUGUAGUUUAAUUAUUUGCUGGUGUCAUCUGAAAUAAAAUGUCUAAUCAGCACCUAGAACAUUGUAGGUAUGAUAUAGAAUACUGAUUAUACUCAUUGACAUUCAUCUCUAAAGGCUCGAUGAAAAUAGGAAAGGAUUUUUUUUCAUGAUAAAUAAGAACAACCAUUGUUUACUCCUUUGAUUCUAUAGAACAAUUUUUGUUACCUCCCCUAAAACCCUAAUGGUGUCUGACUUUAGCUGGCCUCUUUAAUCCUCGACUGAACUGUGGAUUCUAGGCAGUGGGUGUCAGUAGGGGUCCAUAUCUACUUAGAUAGCCCAUACCAGCUCACUUGGGCCUGGAUACAUUUUUGACUAGGAUUGAAAAAUUUUAUAAUCCAAUUACUAUUUUAAAAAUGUAAAGCCACAGAAAUUUACUCAUUUCUAAUUUAAACCUUAAAUUACUACACUGUAAUCCCCUUUGCAUCUUGUCAUCAAGGAGAGGAUUGUUAUAAUAUGUCAUGUAACUUUUCUCAAGUAUAGUAACUUCUGUGCACUCUUCUGGAGCUUUAUUUUAUUUGGAGUGUAAAACACACAUGUCUUUUGCACUCCAUUUCAUAUUCAAAAUUUUGAAUGCCCACAGAAGGAUUUUCUAAAUUCCAAAUUCUAUAUACUUCCUCCUGUCUGCAUUUUUAUAAUUUAUGUUUUUUCUAAUGACUCUAUAUGAUUUAGAGAAUAUGGAAAAUAAAAAUUCACUCCCACAACACUUAAAACACAAUCAAAAUAUUUUUCUAAGCUAUUCAGAUAAAGCAAAAGUGUAUAUUUUUAUACUAAUCCAAAAAUUCCAAUUUUCACUUUUCACCUUUUCAUAUACAUUUUAGUCUGAAUUUGUCCAGUUCUACUGCUGCAAGUUGUUUUCAAUUUACAUAACAUUAUUCAAAAUAUAAGAAAAUACAGGAAGAAAGAUUUUAGUUAAUGAUUAAGCUGGAGAGAACAGGUAAUGAAUAUGAUGAGUACAUAAAUUACUGUUAAAAACAGAUAUUUUUGAAAAUGAAAGUUAGUGCUAAACCAGGCCAGACACAAGAACAAUUGGUAUAAAAAACUGGGGCUGUCCUGGGCAAACUGAGACCAAUAUUCAUACUAGUGAUAAAUAAUUCACCACAGCCACAUACAGAUCAUGUAAAUUUAUUGCAAAAUGCACUGGCUAAAAUGUCCCAUAUUCUGAUGCUUAUAUUUCCACCUUUGGGGGGACACUUGGUCAUUAUUUCAUCCAGUUACAUUUCAUGAGUUCCAGGACGGGAGCUAGAGACUGAUGAUCAGCGCUGAAGGAAUCAGACCCCACGUCUGUUUUCAGAGCAUCUGGUUUAUAGAGGUAUUGCCAUUUUAUGGAAUUUCAAAUGUCUUAAGAUGUAGCACACAUAAACAGUGACUAAAUUUUCCUAUUUAGGUAGAAAUGUGUAGCAGAACUGAUUUUUAAAAAAAAAGGAAUUUAAAGGAAAAUCUAUGCUACCCAAUGUGUGAUGCUUUUAGAGCUCAUCUUUGGAGAAGAACUUUUAAAGAAGAAAAAGUAAUAGAUGAAUACAGUCAUUAAUUGGUGGAAGUAUCCUUAGAAGACAAAAUAUUUGUCAUGGCAAGUGAUUAAAGUAAAGAAAAAUAUAUAACUGAACAGUCACAGGAACGUAACAGAAACUAGAAAACAAAAUCAACAUCAUUGCAGUGAAGGUACCUUAAAAUCAGUUGAAAAAGAUGUUUAGAAUAUCUGCUUCCUUCUCCUUCCCAGGACCAUCACUUCAGAUAAUAUGCUACACAGAUCCUGAUUUGUUCUCUAAAUUGCUGAGAACAGUAAUUUCCUAGAACUAUGCUGACCAAUGGUAAUGGACAUCAAAUUCUCCUUCCAUAGUUGAUCAGAUAUAUUGGUGUAUUACCUCAGGAGUACACGUUUCUUAACAACAACAAAACAAAUACGCACACACACAAACAAAAUGAAACAAAAUAAAACAAAACUUUAACAACUGUUCGAUUGCCCAGAAACACCACGAUUGUUGUGGAGACCCAAGUCCGGUUCCUCAGUUUGGUUCUAGACCUCAGUUUACUUGUGUAAAAAACUAAGUAACUUUUCCUCUUUGGAUCUUAAUUAUGUGUGGAUCUUAAUUAGGUUGCAGGGAAUCUCUAAAUUUUCUUCCAAAUGAGGCAUUUGGUGAGUAUUUUACAACAUUGUAACAGAAUUUCUCAAAUUCUUUCUCGUAUUAUUUUUGUCUCUCGGAAUGUUUUCUGAUUCUAGAUUUCUAGUUUACUCUUUUCCUUCCUUCAGAGAGAAACUUCGGAAGGAUUAGAUUUCAUAAACUUUUCCACAUCUAAUAUUCUCAUUCACUAACACCUCAGUUCUCUAAUAUGGCUCUUUUCUUACCAUUUAAUUAAAAUUAUUAUUUGGGGGUCACCAAAAGCCUUUUUGUUAUUAAUUCAGGAUAGCUAUAUGUGUUCUUAUCUCAGCCUCUGUGCAGGACCUGAUCUUUGGGGACACAUCUAUUUUGAAGUUCUCUCCAUCAUGGUCUUUCAUGACAAUGUUGCUCUUUUUCUUUCUUUUUUUUUUUUCCUAGCCAUUUUAUUUAUUUAUUUUUCCUUUCUCUGUACUCCUCUUUAAUACUAGUGUCUCACACAUACAUGUUCAACCCUCUCAAAACUUCAUUCAUAUUCAUGUGUUCAAUUUCCACUUAUGUUUGUAAAUCUCUCAUUACAUCAAACCUUUUUAUGUUCUGUAACCACAUACACAACAAACAUUCAUCUGAAUAUUCAUACACAACAUUUAUCUGAAUCCAACAGAUACCUUAAAUUCACAAAAGUAAGAAACACCAUUUUAGCUCCAGCCCCAAAUAUCUUCCUCCUGAGGUGCCCCUUAUCAUUGUAUAUGGUACU
Molecule: long non-coding RNA, 4191 nt
Filed under: Sus scrofa (pig)
Lineage: Eukaryota; Metazoa; Chordata; Mammalia; Artiodactyla; Suidae
Description: lncRNA (ENSSSCG00000042796.2)
Source: RNAcentral